GGUUCCUAUCGGUCGACGGGCUGUGGGUGUAUUGCUCAGUGACGGCUUCGUUUAGUUUCUCCCAGCACCCAUAAUUCAAAGCAAGAACAACGACAUUAUGGGGAGAAAACGUCCUUUUGUGAAACAGAAGGCAAUCCACACCAUUAGUAAACCCCAUCAAUUUUGCCUUCAGAAUAUAUCCAGAUUCUUCCCAAUUCUACCGCCACCAUUCUGGUUCAAGCUACCUGGAUCUCACUUUGUUACCCAGGCUAGAGUGCAAUGGUGUGACCACAGCUCACUGAAGCCUCAACCUCCUGAGCUCACUUUUAAGCAAUCCUCUCACUUCGGCCUCCUGAGUAGCUGGGCCUACAGGCAUGUACCAACACUCCCAGCAAGUUUUUCUUAUUUUUGUGAAGACAGAGUCUUGCAGUAUUGCCCAAGCUGGACUUGAACUCCUGGCCUCAAGCAAUCCUCCCAUCUAGGCCUCCCAAAGUGCUAGGAUUACAGGCAUGAGCCACUGUGCCAAGCAACACUUGCAGUUUUUAAGUGAAAAUGAUCCUGUAAAUAUAUAUAUGAAUAAAAUCUAGAAAGCUAUAUAAAUCAAAAUGUUAAAUAGUGGUUAUUUCUGUCUGGAGGGUUUUUUCUUUUUUACAUUUAUUUUCUAAUUUUUCUACAAUCAGCAUAUGUAAUAAAAUUGUUAACUAAUUUUAAUUAUUAAUGAAGAAGACUAUACAAAGACAAAAAUGUUAAGGAUCUCAGUCUUUUGUUUGGGAACAUAAUGGACUUGGUUUAAAUCACUAAUUUUGCCUUAUAAAAAUAUGUUUAAUAUAUAUCCUACAAAAAUAUAGACAGAAAUGCUGCAUCUAGAAGGAACAUAAUCUAUUAGUAAAUUGUAUGUAACUUUUCUCAGAUUUUUGUCCCUAUAUGUAUAAUGAUUGGGUUACAUUAUUUUCCAAACUCAACAGAAACAUAUUAAUCAAGAAUUAAGGAAAGUCACUUUCAGGUCAACAAGCUUAAUGGCUAUUGGGAAAAUAUUUUUACACAAAUUUCAAGCCAAACACCGUUAUCACUUAAAGCAAAAAACAUUUAGCUAAAACACAAAUUUGUAUAUAUUUUUUUACAUAUAUGGUUUUCCUAAAAGCAUGUCUGAUUUUGUAUUUUAAAGUGUAUUUAAAAUACUGAUGAAAGUACACUUAGUCAAAUUAAAAGUUGAAACUUAAAAAUAUAUGCUUAUUCAGCUCACUUAGACCUGACCUUUCUCUAUUCUUCUUUGGAAUGUAAAUAUAGAAAGCAGGAUUCUUAGUUUUUCCAAUCACAAAGAUAAGUUCUCUUAGGUAAGUUUAACAAAUGUGCUCAAAAGGAAGCUAAUUAAAAACCAAAAUAAAUUUUUAGUAGAAGCUAAAUUUCUACUUAAGUAACUUCAGAUGAAUGUAUAUGACUUCAUACAUGAACUUUCUGUUAAAAUUCAUCUACAAAUGCCUAUUUCUUGAACAAUUCACUCUCGAUCCUGAAAAUGUAGUAUGGUUUAGGAAGCUAAAUGCCAGACAGAACUGGCUCUAAACUGUUUUAUAAAAAAUUUUUCGGCUGGGCGCGGUGGCGUGAUCACGCCUGUAAUCCCAGCACUUUGGGAGGCCGAGGUGGGCAGAUCACGAGGUCAGGAGAUCGAGAGCAUCCUGGCUAACAUGGUGAAACCCCAUCUCUACUAAAAAUACAAAAAAUCAGCCGGGUGUGGUGAUGGGUGCCUGUAGUCCCAGCUACUCGGGAGGCUGUGGCAGGAGAAUGGCGUGAACCCGGGAGGUGGAGCUUGCAGUGAGCCGAGAUUGCACCACUGCACUCCAGCCUGGGUGACAGAGCGAGACUCCAUCUCAAAAAAAAAAAAAAAAAAAUUUUUUUUUCUCAGAAGACCCAUGAGUAUAUUUUUUACAAAUAUUAAAUUCAGGCAGAUCUUUCACUUUAUUCUUCAUACAUCACUCAUCGAAAAGUUGAACCUCUGAGUAACUUAUUGUGAUAACUAGCUAAAUCAGUUACUUUAAAUGUUUGCAAAUAUUAACUCAAAGGGAAUGCGGAAUUAAUGGAGUGAUUUUACUUUUGCAAAGCAAUUUCUAGAAAACAAUAUUAAAAAGCAGGACUAGGUAAAGAAAAUGUAGUACAUAUACACGACGGACUACUAUACGGCCAAAAAAAAAAAAAGAAUGACAUCAUGUCCUCUGCAGGAACAUGGAUGGAGCUGGAGGGCUUAGUGAACUAACACAGGAACAGAAAACCAAAUACUGCAUGUUCUCACUUAUAAGUGGGAGCUAAAUAAUGAGAACCAAUGGGCACAAAUAGGGGAACAGCAGACAUUGGGCCUGAAUGAGGGAGGAGGGAGAGCACCAGAAAAAUAACAAUCGGUUACCACGCUUAGUACCUGGGUGACAAAAUAAUCUGUACCCCAAACCCCCGUGAUACAAGUUUACCUAUAAAACAAACCUGUAAAUGUACCCCUGAACCUAAAAUAAAGGCUUUAAAAAAAGAAAAAGGAACAAAAAGCUGGGCUUCAUAGAAGAAAUUAUUUUAUAAUAGCUCAUAGCAUUGUACUACUUUGUGGCUUUUUAAUGAUAAAGAAAUGACUUAUAUUUGUAAAUCAUUAUUACUAAUUUCAGAAAGCACUUUAGUUCUUGAUGAACCAAAAAGCUUCCAUUUUAUAUUUUCUACAAAAUUACUUUAAUAGAAAUAUGAAUAUAUUAUGAACAUGAAGUCACUAGACCUCUCUGUGAAAUGGAACAAUUUUGCUCCAUAUACCACACACGGUGAUAUAACCUAGGAAGAAAGCACUCUGCAAGAACAGUUACUACCCAGAGAAGUGAUCACAACAACCCAGUUUCCUAUCUCACUCAUCAUAGGCACUUUCUGCCUACUGAAAAAGCCAGUAAUAGAAAAAGAUGCAAUUUGUAGGAGGGAAGAAGGUAAAGAAUAAGGUGAGGGGAUAUACACAAAACAAUCCAAGGCAGGUUUAUUUACAGUCAUAAUAUCUCCCUGAACAUCAGCUGGCACUGAUGAUCCAGAGGAGUACCAACUGGAGACUAUUUCUUUCAUCACCUCUAUCUUAUAUGUAAGGGACUCCAAGUUCAAAGAAAGCUCAAAGGAACAACCAACUGCAAAAGAAUUAACUUUGCACAUCAUCACGGUAUCUGACUAGCGCAUUUGGUUUGAACAGAAUUCCUGCAACAAAUGGAUUACUUCAUAAAAACCCAAUUUCAAAGUCCGCUUAUUAUUGCCCAUCCUAAAGCUUCAAUUCAUAGUUUGGUCUGAAGUUUGCACCACCCCCCAAAGUUCUGUUUACCAGAAGCCCCUUCUACUCAACUUAUAUAACUCAAACCCGUAUCCCAAAUAACACUUUGAAAAGCAAUGGUUUUUCUCAAGAAUUUUAUAUGCAAAUACAGAUAAAGCAGAAGAGAUAAACGCAGCAUAACAGUACAAUAUUUAUUUACCAUCUUACCAUCUCCAGCAGCAAAGCUUUAGAACAAGGAAACCCUCUUUUUACAAAGCAAUCUCCUUCCCACCCCCAAUUAGUUGUUUACAAAUACAAAGUACACAGAACAUCUGCUUUGUAUGAACAAAUCUUAAAACACACAUAUAGAUAUACUCCAUUCUGUAAAGUACUUUAUUCAGUGAAUAAGGCUAGUCCCACCAAACCUGUUAAAAAAGAUUUUCCUAUAUUCUCUUUUGAGUAAACUGCCAACAUCUAUCUCUAUAAAAAUCAUUUUAGGAAAAUGACUUACAUCCUCCUUCAGUACAGGACCAAAAUAUAACAGUAACUGGACCUUAAGAGAUUUUUAAAAUAUACGGCCAGGCGUGGUGGCUCACAACCACAAUCCCAGCACUUUGGGAGGCCGAGGCAGGUGGAUCACCUGAGGUCAGGAGUUCAAGACCAACCUAGCCAACAUGGUGAAAUCUUGUAUCUACUAAAAAUACAAAAAUUAGUUGAGCAUGGUGGCAGGUGCCUGCGAUUCCAGCUACUCGGGAGGCUGAGGCAAGAGAAUCGCUUGAACCCGGGAGGCAGAGGUUGCAGUGAGCCAAGAUCGCACCACUGCACUCUAGCCUCAGCGACAGAGUGAGACUCCGUCUCAAGAAACAAAAAACAAAAAAAAAAAAACAAAAAAACCCCACAGUAACUCUGAAUAUGAAGUGUGACAAAGCAAAAGGGAGUUUUUUAACCCUGAGUGCCACUGUUCCACCUCUGGCACAGAAGGAAAAAAAAAAAAAAGGAUGAACUGUAGAGAAAAUAAAAGUAAAAGUGGGAAUGGGGCCUGGUACGGUGGCUCACGCCUGCAAUCCCAGCACUUCGGGAGGCCAAAGUGGGCAGAUCACUUGAGGUCAGGAGUUCGAGACCAGCCUGGCCAACAUGGCAAAACCCCAUCUCUACUAAAAAUACAAAAAAUUAGCCAGGAAUGGUGGCAUGCGCCUGUAAUCCUAGCUACUUGGGAGGCUGAGGCAGGAGAAUCGCUUGAACCUGGGAGGUGGAGGUUGCAGUUAGCCGAUAUGACCCCACUGUACUCCAGCUUGGGCGCCAGAGUGAGACUGUCUCAAAAAAUAAGGGAAAAAGAAGGAAAAAAAAAAAAAAGAAGGUAAAGGUGGCCAACAGCAAGGAAAAAAACUUAAAAAACGAAUACGAAGUUGACAAAAUGUGUUGGAGCUGCUGGAGAUAUUACUGGGACAAGGUCUACAACCCAGUUUCCUAUCUGAAACACCUAGAGAGGGUUCUGGUGAUAGGAACCCACUUCCUCCUUCAAUACAACACCUCCAAAUGCCAAUGAAGCAAUAUUUUUAUAAGUAACUUUAUUUUCCCCAAGUCCACCUAGAAAUGAUCUGUAAGUCAAAACACAAGGAAAUUAACCACUUUUAGCUACCCUGAGGACACCUUUCCAUAGGUGACCCUGAAGUAUGCAACCAUUUAACCAUGAAGGGAUACCACAUUCCACUUCAGGAACAUUAUCCUGUUCAUCCUCAGAGUUGUUUUCUACCAGUGCCUCAGUUCUUUCUGAUUGCUUGAGCUGCCCCAGAGCCAGAGGUGCACUGUAGAAAGCCCACCUUGGGCUCAGUUCCGGGAAAGAAAGAAUUGUUCUAGAUGUACAUAAUGGACUAUGGUACAAACCAACCCCUAGAGAGACAACUCCUAGAACCUUACAAGUAAUGGCUGUACAAACUUAGCACACUUUGAAUAUGUAGGAACCAGUACAUAUUCACAGAUAAUUUAUCAUCAUCUAUUUAGUCUCCUUCAUUUCUGUUCCCCCUAAAGACUAUUUCUUAUAAUUCUGAAACCAGACACACCCCAUUGUGUUACCCACACUGUUCCACACUCCUGUUCCUCCAGCUGAAUGUCUGGCUCCUGUUUCUCCACCAGGCCAACUAACUCUUGCCUAAUCAUCCUCCAAAACUCAGCUCACACACUUGGUAAGAAAAGCUUUUCCUCACCCCUCUAUAUGGCUUUUCUUAUUCCAUCACCACAGGCAUUCUUCCAAAAAGGACAUCUGCUCUUAUACUUUAGUGGUAUUUAUUUCUCUGGAGAAUAUACCAUCUCUUAUUAACCCUCAGUAUUCUCAGACCUUUCUCAAUACCUGCCUGCACAUAGCAGGUACUGAAAAAGAUGUCUGACAAACUAAAAGACUGUUUUCAACACAGAUAUGAAAUAACAAAAUACCAUCUAUCAAAAAUUGUAUACACAUACAUAUACACUCUAACUCCUCAUUCUACAUUCUCUUAUUUUAUUAUUAUGAGCAUUUCUUAGCUUGUACUUGAGAAAAGAGACUAUUUUACUUUAAAUAUAUCUUUUAAUGACUUAGUACACUGUUAGGCUUGUAAGACAGCCUUAAAAAAUCAUAAAGGGGAACAUGAUCACAUGGCAUGAAA
Molecule: long non-coding RNA, 5868 nt
Filed under: Homo sapiens (human)
Lineage: Eukaryota; Metazoa; Chordata; Mammalia; Primates; Hominidae
Description: HSALNT0334772
Source: RNAcentral